CUUCAAAGAAGAGUUUGAUCCUGGCUCAGGACGAACGCUGGCGGCGCGCUUAACACAUGCGAGUUGAACGCUCCGCCCUCUUCUGCCCUUCGGGGCAGAGAGGAUCACGGAGAGUAGCGGACGGGUGAGUAACGCGUAGGUAACCUGCCCUGGGGAGGAGGAUAACCCUGCGAAAGCGGGGCUAAUCCUGCAUAUGUUAGGGAGUGGCCAACACACCCUAAUGAAAGGCGGCAUCAAGCCGUCACCCCGGGAUGGGCCUGCGUCGGAUUAGCCAGCUGGUAGGGUAAAGGCCUACCAGGGCGACGAUCCGUAGCUGGUCUGAGAGGACGAUCAGCCACACUGGGACUGAGACACGGCCCAGACUCCUACGGGAGGCAGCAGUGGGGAAUCUUCCGCAAUGGGCGCAAGCCUGACGGAGCGACGCCGCGUGGAUGAAGAAGGCCUUCGGGUCGUAAAGUCCUGUCAGUGGGGAAGAAAGCGAUCAUCAAGAAAAGGGUGAUCGUUGACGGUACCCGUUGAGGAAGCCCUGGCCAACUACGUGCCAGCAGCCGCGGUAACACGUAGAGGGCAAGCGUUGUCCGGAAUUACUGGGCGUAAAGGGCGCGCAGGCGGUAAGGCAAGUCGGGUGUGAAAACCUGGGGCUUAACCCCAGGCGUGCAUUCGAAACUGUCUUGCUUGAGGGCAGCAGAGGAAAACGGAAUUCCUGGUGUAGUGGUGAAAUACGUAGAUAUCAGGAGGAACACCAGUGGCGAAAGCGGUUUUCUGGGCUGUCUCUGACGCUGAGGCGCGAAAGCCGGGGGAGCGAACGGGAUUAGAUACCCCGGUAGUCCCGGCUGUAAACGUUGGACACUAGGUGUUGGGGGUUAAACUCCUUCAGUGCC
Molecule: ribosomal RNA, 881 nt
Filed under: Halarsenatibacter silvermanii
Lineage: Bacteria; Bacillati; Bacillota; Clostridia; Halanaerobiales; Halarsenatibacteraceae
Description: bacterial SSU rRNA
Rfam family: Bacterial small subunit ribosomal RNA
Source: RNAcentral